UCGGUUCGGCCGGAUUUCACACAGGUGUUGCAUGGCUGUCGUCAGCUCGUGUCGUGAGAUGUUGGGUUAAGUCCCGCAACGAGCGUAACCCUCAUUCUUAGUUGCCAUCAGGUAAUGCUGGGGACUUUAAGGAAACUGCCAGUGAUAAACUGGAGGAAGGUGGGGAUGAUGUCAAGUCAUCAUGGCCCUUAUGGAGUGGGCUACACACGUGCUACAAUGGUGGCUACAAUGGGCUGCAAAGUCGCGAGGCCAAGCUAAUCCCUUAAAAGCCAUCUCAGUUCGGAUUGUACUCUGCAACUCGAGUGCAUGAAGUUGGAAUCGCUAGUAAUCGUGGAUCAGCACGCCACGGUGAAUACGUUCUCGGGUCUUGUACACACUGCCCGUCACGCC
RNAcentral lists this ribosomal RNA (390 nucleotides) under Candidatus Wolbachia massiliensis. Its description in RNAcentral is "bacterial SSU rRNA". It matches the Rfam family "Bacterial small subunit ribosomal RNA", at positions 1014 to 1403 of the family's 1533-position model. The record is from RNAcentral. Lineage: Bacteria; Pseudomonadati; Pseudomonadota; Alphaproteobacteria; Rickettsiales; Anaplasmataceae.